AGGACGAACGCUGGCGGCGUGCUUAACACAUGCAAGUCGAGCGGAAAGGCCCUUCGGGGUACUCGAGCGGCGAACGGGUGAGUAACACGUGAGCAACCUGCCCUUAGCUCUGGGAUAGCUCCGGGAAACCGGAAUUAAUACCGGAUAUUACACCGGCUGGCAUCGGCUGGUGUGGAAAGAUUUUAUCGGCUAAGGAUGGACUCGCGGCCUAUCAGCUUGUUGGUGGGGUAGAAGCCUACCAAGGCGACGACGGGUA
RNAcentral lists this ribosomal RNA (256 nucleotides) under uncultured bacterium. RNAcentral's name for it is "partial small subunit ribosomal RNA". It matches the Rfam family "Bacterial small subunit ribosomal RNA", at positions 26 to 285 of the family's 1533-position model. The record is from RNAcentral.